UACGGAGGGGGCUAGCGUUGUUCGGAAUUACUGGGCGUAAAGCGCGCGUAGGCGGCUUUGUAAGUUAGAGGUGAAAGCCCGGAGCUCAACUCCGGAAUUGCCUUUAAGACUGCAUCGCUAGAACGUCGGAGAGGUGAGUGGAAUUCCGAGUGUAGAGGUGAAAUUCGUAGAUAUUCGGAAGAACACCAGUGGCGAAGGCGACUUACUGGACACAUAUUGACGCUGAGGUGCGAAAGCGUGGGGAGCAAACAGG
RNAcentral lists this ribosomal RNA (253 nucleotides) under uncultured bacterium. RNAcentral's name for it is "partial 16S ribosomal RNA". It matches the Rfam family "Bacterial small subunit ribosomal RNA", at positions 524 to 776 of the family's 1533-position model. The record is from RNAcentral.